RNAcentral lists this ribosomal RNA (432 nucleotides) under uncultured bacterium. RNAcentral's name for it is "partial 16S ribosomal RNA". It matches the Rfam family "Bacterial small subunit ribosomal RNA", at positions 29 to 506 of the family's 1533-position model. The record is from RNAcentral.
AACGAACGCUGGCGGCAUGCCUAACACAUGCCAGUCGAACGAGACCUUCGGGUCUAGUGGCGCACGGGUGCGUAACGCGUGGGAACCUGCCCUUAGGUUCGGAAUAACUCCCCGAAAGGGGUGCUAAUACCGGAUAAUGUCUUCGGACCAAAGAUUUAUCGCCUUUGGAUGGGCCCGCGUUGGAUUAGCUAGUUGGUAGGGUAAAAGCCUACCAAGGCGACGAUCCAUAGCUGGUCUGAGAGGAUGAUCAGCCACACUGGGACUGAGACACGGCCCAGACUCCUACGGGAGGCAGCAGUGGGGAAUAUUGGACGAUGGGCGAAAGCCUGAUCCAGCAAUGCCGGGUGAGUGAUGAAGGCCUUAGGGUUGUAAAGCUCUUUUACCCGGGAUGAUAAUGACGGUACCGGGAGAAUAAGCUCCGGCUAACUCCGU